Molecule: ribosomal RNA, 498 nt
Filed under: uncultured bacterium
Lineage: Bacteria
Description: partial 16S ribosomal RNA
Rfam family: Bacterial small subunit ribosomal RNA
Source: RNAcentral
GACGAACGCUGGCGGCGUGCCUAAUACAUGCCAGUCGAACGAGAGCGACCGGUGCUUGCACUGGUCAAUCUAGUGGCGAACGGGUGAGUAACACGUGGGUAACCUGCCCAUCAGAGGGGGAUAACAUUCGGAAACGGAUGCUAAAACCGCAUAGGUCUUCGCACCGCAUGGUUUGAAGAGGAAAAGAGGCGCAAGCUUCCGCUGAUGGAUGGACCCGCGGUGCAUUAGCUAGUUGGUGAGGUAACGGCUCACCAAGGCCGUGAUGCAUAGCCGACCUGAGGGGGGGAUCGGCCACAUUGGGACUGGGACACGGCCAAAACUCCUGCGGGACGCAGCAGUAGGGAAUCUUCCGCAAUGGACGCAAGUCUGACGGAGCAACGCCGCGUGAGUGAAGAAGGUUUUCGGAUCGUAAAACUCUGUUGUUAGAGAAGAAUAAGUGCUAGAGUAACUGUUAGCGCCUUGACGGUAUCUAACCAGAAAGCCACGGCUAACUACGUG